This 422-nucleotide ribosomal RNA is filed under the name uncultured bacterium. Its description in RNAcentral is "bacterial SSU rRNA". It matches the Rfam family "Bacterial small subunit ribosomal RNA", at positions 355 to 775 of the family's 1533-position model. The record is from RNAcentral.
UAGGGAAUAUUGGACAAUGGGUGCAAGCCUGAUCCAGCCAUGCGGCGUGCAGGAAGAAGGCCUUAUGGGUUGUAAACUGCUUUUGCCAGGGGAUAAAAUACGGAUGCGUCCGGAAUUGAAGGUACCUGGUGAAUAAGCCACGGCUAACUACGUGCCAGCAGCCGCGGUAAUACGUAGGUGGCAAGCGUUGUCCGGAUUUAUUGGGUUUAAAGGGUGCGUAGGCGGUUCCUUAAGUCAGUGGUGAAAUACUUCAGCUCAACUGGAGAGGUGCCAUUGAUACUGGGGAACUUGAGUACUGAUGAGGUAGGCGGAAUGGACGGUGUAGCGGUGAAAUGCUUAGAUAUCGUCCAGAACACCGAUAGCGAAGGCAGCUUACUAAAGAGUAACUGACGCUGAGGCACGAAAGUGUGGGGAUCAAACAG